UACGGAGGGUGCAAGCUUUAAUCGGAAUUACUGGGCGUAAAGCGCACGCAGGUGGUUUGUUAAGUCGGAUGUGAAAUCCCCGGGCUCAACCUGGGAACUGCAUUCGAAACUGGCAGGCUGGAGUCUUGUAGAGGGGCGUAGAAUUCCAGGUGUAGCGGUGAAAUGCGUAGAGAUCUGGAGGAAUACCGGUGGCGAAGGCGGCCCCCUGGACGAAGACUGACGCUCAGGUACGAAAGCGUGGGGAGCAAACAGG
Molecule: ribosomal RNA, 253 nt
Filed under: uncultured bacterium
Lineage: Bacteria
Description: partial 16S ribosomal RNA
Rfam family: Bacterial small subunit ribosomal RNA
Source: RNAcentral